AGCGUAGGUGGCCUAACAUGUCAACUGUGAAAACCCCGGAGCUCAACUCCGGACUUGCAGUUGAAACUGGUAGGCUUGAGGACGGUAGAGGAAGACGGAACUGCCAGUGUAGGGGUAAAAAUCCUCAGAUAUUGGCAGGAACGCCGGUGACGAAGGUGGUUUUCUGGGCCGGUUCUGACACUGAUGCUCGAAAGCCAGGGGAGCGAACG
RNAcentral lists this ribosomal RNA (209 nucleotides) under uncultured Mesotoga sp. Its description in RNAcentral is "partial 16S ribosomal RNA". It matches the Rfam family "Bacterial small subunit ribosomal RNA", at positions 568 to 774 of the family's 1533-position model. Lineage: Bacteria; Thermotogati; Thermotogota; Thermotogae; Kosmotogales; Kosmotogaceae. The record is from RNAcentral.